ACAGCGAUGUGAUGCCAAUCCCUAAAGCCCCUCUCAGUUCGGAUCGAAGUCUGCAACCCGACUUCGUGAAGCUGGAUUCGCUAGUAAUCGCGCAUCAGCCACGGCGCGGUGAAUACGUUCCCGGGCCUUGUACCACACCGCCCGUCAAGCCAGUGGGAGCCGGGGGUACCUGAAGUACGUAACCGCAAGGAGCGUCCUAGGGUAAAACUGGUGACUGGGGCUAAGUCGUAACAAGGUAUC
This 240-nucleotide ribosomal RNA is filed under the name uncultured bacterium. Its description in RNAcentral is "partial 16S ribosomal RNA". It matches the Rfam family "Bacterial small subunit ribosomal RNA", at positions 1254 to 1500 of the family's 1533-position model. The record is from RNAcentral.